This 403-nucleotide ribosomal RNA is filed under the name uncultured bacterium. RNAcentral describes it as "partial 16S ribosomal RNA". It matches the Rfam family "Bacterial small subunit ribosomal RNA", at positions 28 to 526 of the family's 1533-position model. The record is from RNAcentral.
GACGAACGCUGGCGGCGUGCCUAAUACAUGCAAGUCGAACGCAGUGGGGACGGGUGAGUAACACGUGGGUAACCUCCCAUCAGAGGGGAUAACACUUGGAAACAGGUGCUAAACCGAUACUGAUGGAUGAACCCGCGGUGCAUUAGCUAGUUGGUGCGGUAACGGCUCACCAAGGCCACGAUGCAUAGGUGACCGGAAAGGGGGAGCGGCCACACUGGGAUUAAGACACGGCACAGAAUCCUACGGGAGGCAGCAGUAGGGAAUCUUGGGAAAUGGACGAAAGUCUGACCGAGCAACGCCGAGUGAGUGAAGAAGGUUUUCGGAUCGUAAAACUCUGGUGUUAGAGAAGCGGUAUCUAACCAGAAAGCCACGGAUAACUACGUGCCAGCAGCAGCGGUAAGAC